RNAcentral lists this ribosomal RNA (368 nucleotides) under uncultured prokaryote. Its description in RNAcentral is "partial 16S ribosomal RNA". The record is from RNAcentral.
CCCUAUGGGGUGCCCCGCGAAAAGCUCAAUAUCGAAAUCAUGGCGGAAGGCAGUUCCGGAUUUCUGGGCCUGGGGGCCAGGAAGGCCCGAAUCAAGGCCGGCUUGCUGUCUUUCGAUUCCGACUCCGCGACGAUACGAUACGAUCUUUUUGACGAUGAAAUCCCACCUGCCCAACCUCCCGUAAAAUCGGCAGGUAAUGAGGCGGCACCACUAGCGACGCCCCAGCCGGUGGAUGCCGGUUCCGUCGCCGAAAGGGCCCGCGAGAUUCUGGAGGGGAUUCUCAUGCGCAUGUCCCUGGCGUCUCCCGUCACGGUCGAAGAAACGGAAGACCGCAUCAUCCUGAACAUUCACAGCGACGGCGGGGGGGC